Molecule: transfer RNA, 92 nt
Filed under: Hyphomicrobiales bacterium
Lineage: Bacteria; Pseudomonadati; Pseudomonadota; Alphaproteobacteria; Hyphomicrobiales
Also listed under: 1 other name
Description: Rhizobiales bacterium tRNA-Ser
Rfam family: tRNA
About the family: Transfer RNA (tRNA) molecules are approximately 80 nucleotides in length. Their secondary structure includes four short double-helical elements and three loops (D, anti-codon, and T loops). Further hydrogen bonds mediate the characteristic L-shaped molecular structure. tRNAs have two regions of fundamental functional importance: the anti-codon, which is responsible for specific mRNA codon recognition, and the 3' end, to which the tRNAs corresponding amino acid is attached (by aminoacyl-tRNA synthetases). tRNAs cope with the degeneracy of the genetic code in two manners: having more than one tRNA (with a specific anti-codon) for a particular amino acid; and 'wobble' base-pairing, i.e. permitting non-standard base-pairing at the 3rd anti-codon position.
Source: RNAcentral
GGAGACGUGGCCGAGUGGCUGAAGGCGGCGGUUUGCUAAAUCGUUGUACUCCGAAAGGGGUACCGGAGGUUCGAAUCCUCUCGUCUCCGCCA